This 253-nucleotide ribosomal RNA is filed under the name uncultured bacterium. Its description in RNAcentral is "partial 16S ribosomal RNA". It matches the Rfam family "Bacterial small subunit ribosomal RNA", at positions 524 to 776 of the family's 1533-position model. The record is from RNAcentral.
UACGGAGGAUGCAAGCGUUAUCCGGAAUGCUUGGGCGUAAAGCGUCCGCAGGUGGCUAUGUAAGUCUGCUGUUAAAGAGUGAGGCUCAACCUCAUAAGAGCAGUGGAAACUACAUGGCUAGAGUGCGUUCGGGGCAGAGGGAAUUCCUGGUGUAGCGGUGAAAUGCGUAGAGAUCAGGAAGAACACCGGUGGCGAAAGCGCUCUGCUAGGCCGCAACUGACACUCAUGGACGAAAGCUAGGGGAGCGAAUGGG